This 468-nucleotide ribosomal RNA is filed under the name uncultured bacterium. RNAcentral's name for it is "partial 16S ribosomal RNA". It matches the Rfam family "Bacterial small subunit ribosomal RNA", at positions 28 to 507 of the family's 1533-position model. The record is from RNAcentral.
GACGAACGCUGGCGGCGUGCUUAACACAUGCAAGUCGAACGGAAAGGCCCUGCUUUUGUGGGGUGCUCGAGUGGCGAACGGGUGAGUAACACGUGAGUAACCUGCCCUUGACUUUGGGAUAACUUCAGGAAACUGGGGCUAAUACCGGAUAGGAGCUCCUGCUGCAUGGUGGGGGUUGGAAAGUUUCGGCGGUUGGGGAUGGACUCGCGGCUUAUCAGCUUGUUGGUGGGGUAGUGGCUUACCAAGGCUUUGACGGGUAGCCGGCCUGAGAGGGUGACCGGCCACAUUGGGACUGAGAUACGGCCCAGACUCCUACGGGAGGCAGCAGUGGGGAAUAUUGCACAAUGGGCGGGAGCCUGAUGCAGCAACGCCGCGUGCGGGAUGACGGCCUUCGGGUUGUAAACCGCUUUCGCCUGUGACGAAGCGUAAGUGACGGUAAUGGGUAAAGAAGCACCGGCUAACUACGUG